GUUAUAGUUUAUUUGAUAAUCAAAUUUACAUGGAUAACCGUGGUAAUUCUAGAGCUAAUACAUGCCGUUAAGCCUGACUUUUAGGAAGGGCUGUAUUUAUUAUAUAACAAACCAAUAUUCCUUGUGUCUAUUGUGACGAUUCAUAAUAACUGAUCGAAUCGCAUGGGCUUUGCCCGCGAUACAUCAUUCAAGUUUCUGCCCCAUCACCUUUCGAUGGUAGUGUAUUGGACUACCAUGGCUUUCACGGGUAACGGAGGAUUAGGGUUCGAUUCCGGAGAGGGAGCCUGAGAAACGGCUACCACAUCUAAGGAAGGCAGCAGGCGCGUAAAUUACCCAAUCCUGACUCAGGGAGGUAGUGACAAGAAAUAACGGACCGAAGCCUAUGUUUCGGGAUUGCAAUGAGUAGAAUUUAAACCCCUUUACGAGGAUCAAUUGGAGGGCAAGUCUGGUGCCAGCAGCCGCGGUAAUUCCAGCU
RNAcentral lists this ribosomal RNA (475 nucleotides) under uncultured eukaryote. RNAcentral's name for it is "SSU rRNA". It matches the Rfam family "Eukaryotic small subunit ribosomal RNA", at positions 109 to 590 of the family's 1831-position model. The record is from RNAcentral.